GUGCUUGCUUCGGCAGCAUAUAUGCUAAAAUUGGAAGGAUACAGAGAAGAUUAGCAUGGCCCCUGCACAUUUUUUUCUUACUGAGUUUAGAUGAUCUUGCUUAAUAU
Molecule: small nuclear RNA, 107 nt
Organism: Nannospalax galili (Upper Galilee mountains blind mole rat)
Lineage: Eukaryota; Metazoa; Chordata; Mammalia; Rodentia; Spalacidae
Source: Ensembl